GUUCUGUUCUCUGGUCUCCCAAGGCCCUUGAUUUAUGGGGUCCCCACAGACGGAAGCUUUCCCCCCAUCAGCAGGUCUCCACUGAAUCAGCGGCAGGAGUCCUGGAUGAUCCCCGGUCGCGCGGCCCCCUCCCCCGCUCCUUCCCUACCAGCGCCGCAGCGAUAGCAGAAUCUAGGGGAGGGAGCGACAUUCUCUCCUACCGUUCCAGCGCCUCUGAGACUAAUGAAGUUGAUCAUAUUCCCCAUUCUGCUCCAAGGAGGUUGGCAUUGGGACUAAAACUGAAGUAGUAAAGUUGGAUCUGAAUAAUGUUUGGAGGUGAACUGACUAUAAAGCUCAAGAGAGGAAGAUAAUGUGAAGAUUUAUGAAUAAGAAAUUUAUAAGAAUAACGUUAUACUGAAGGAUGAGGCAAAGUUCUGAAAUAGAAUCAAAUCAUUUGGUGCAGAAACUUUCAAGCCAUGGAGAGAGAAGCAUUUGAAGUCAUUUAUAUUUAGACAAAGCCUGUCUGGUCGCUUACAGUUAGUCACAAAACGCCUUUUGCCAGUUGGAGUCUGUGUCCAUGUUUUGGAAGAAGCUGCAGCGUGACUGGGGCAGGAAGCUCUACUCGAUUUAAUCGUCUAUUCGUUUGGAUCCUCUUGGAGCGUUCAACUGCUUCACCCACCUCCUAGGAGAAACAGACACGGAGCGGUAGGAGAACUAUUCUUAUCCCCAUCCGGGGAUCAG
Molecule: long non-coding RNA, 720 nt
Filed under: Equus caballus (horse)
Lineage: Eukaryota; Metazoa; Chordata; Mammalia; Perissodactyla; Equidae
Description: lncRNA (ENSECAG00000028900.3)
Source: RNAcentral